Molecule: antisense RNA, 178 nt
Filed under: [Limnothrix rosea] IAM M-220
Lineage: Bacteria; Bacillati; Cyanobacteriota; Cyanophyceae; Chroococcales; Geminocystaceae
Description: Oscillatoria rosea IAM M-220 Antisense RNA which regulates isiA expression
Rfam family: Antisense RNA which regulates isiA expression
Source: Rfam by way of RNAcentral
GGUAACCAUAAAUGGUUGCAGGGCUUAAUGUUGGUUCGGUGACAACUCGCACAGUUUCGGUUGCAGCGUCAUACAACCCACCGAAAUACAUUGCUUUUGCAACGAAGAGUAAUGCUCCAAAUCCCAAUAGGAGCAAGUGAUGACCGAGAAUCAUACCCAGCUGUUUGGGGUCUUCCCA